RNAcentral lists this ribosomal RNA (435 nucleotides) under uncultured bacterium. RNAcentral's name for it is "partial 16S ribosomal RNA". It matches the Rfam family "Bacterial small subunit ribosomal RNA", at positions 29 to 507 of the family's 1533-position model. The record is from RNAcentral.
AGCGAACGCUGGCGGCAGGCUUAACACAUGCAAGUCGAGCGGGCACUUUCGGGUGUCAGUGGCGGACGGGUGAGUAACGCGUGGGAACGUGCCCUCUGGUUCGGAAUAACUCAGGGAAACUUGAGCUAAUACCGGAUACGCCCUUUUGGGGAAAGGCUUGCUGCCGGAGGAUCGGCCCGCGUCUGAUUAGCUAGUUGGUGAGGUAACGGCUCACCAAGGCGACGAUCAGUAGCUGGUCUGAGAGGAUGAUCAGCCACACUGGGACUGAGACACGGCCCAGACUCCUACGGGAGGCAGCAGUGGGGAAUAUUGGACAAUGGGCGCAAGCCUGAUCCAGCCAUGCCGCGUGAGUGAUCAAGGCCUUAGGGUUGUAAAGCUCUUUUAUCCGGGACGAUAAUGACGGUACCGGAGGAAUAAGCCCCGGCUAACUUCGUG